RNAcentral lists this ribosomal RNA (409 nucleotides) under uncultured eukaryote. Its description in RNAcentral is "SSU rRNA". It matches the Rfam family "Eukaryotic small subunit ribosomal RNA", at positions 567 to 981 of the family's 1831-position model. The record is from RNAcentral.
CCAGCAGCCGCGGUAAUUCCAGCUCCAAUAGCGUAUAUUUAAGUUGUUGCAGUUAAAAAGCUCGUAGUUGGAUUUCGGGUGGGUCCUGCCGGUCCGCCGUUUCGGUGUGCACUUGCAGGUCCCACCUUGUUGCCGGGGACGUGUUCCUGGGCUUCACUGUCCGGGACACGGAGUCGGCGAGGUUACUUUGAGUAAGUUAGAGUGUUCAAAGCAGGCCUACGCUCUGAAUACAUUAGCAUGGAAUAACACGAUAGGACUCUGGCCUAUCUUGUUGGUCUGUAGGACCGGAGUAAUGAUUAAGAGGGACAGUCGGGGGCAUUCGUAUUUCAUUGUCAGAGGUGAAAUUCUUGGAUUUAUGAAAGACGAACUACUGCGAAAGCAUUUGCCAAGGAUGUUUUCAUUAAUCAAG